GGAACGAUAGCGCAACCGGGAGCGCACCGGCCUGAAGAGCCGGCGUGUCCAGGUUAGAGUCCUGGUCGUUCCA
RNAcentral lists this transfer RNA (73 nucleotides) under Haloarcula sp. S1AR25-4. RNAcentral describes it as "tRNA-Phe". It matches the Rfam family "tRNA". From Rfam's summary of the family: Transfer RNA (tRNA) molecules are approximately 80 nucleotides in length. Their secondary structure includes four short double-helical elements and three loops (D, anti-codon, and T loops). Further hydrogen bonds mediate the characteristic L-shaped molecular structure. tRNAs have two regions of fundamental functional importance: the anti-codon, which is responsible for specific mRNA codon recognition, and the 3' end, to which the tRNAs corresponding amino acid is attached (by aminoacyl-tRNA synthetases). tRNAs cope with the degeneracy of the genetic code in two manners: having more than one tRNA (with a specific anti-codon) for a particular amino acid; and 'wobble' base-pairing, i.e. permitting non-standard base-pairing at the 3rd anti-codon position. The record is from RNAcentral. Lineage: Archaea; Methanobacteriati; Methanobacteriota; Halobacteria; Halobacteriales; Haloarculaceae.